ACGCUCGACACCUACGGAGGCAGCAGUCGGGAAUAUUGCGCAAUGGAGGAAACUCUGACGCAGUGACGCCGCGUAUAGGAAGAAGGUUUUCGGAUUGUAAACUAUUGUCGUUAGGGAAGAAAAGGACAGUACCUAAGGAGGAAGCUCCGGCUAACUACGCGCCAGCAGCCGCGGUAAUCUGAGCGGGCUGGCAAGGC
Molecule: ribosomal RNA, 197 nt
Filed under: uncultured bacterium
Lineage: Bacteria
Description: partial 16S ribosomal RNA
Rfam family: Bacterial small subunit ribosomal RNA
Source: RNAcentral